GGAGGAAAAGAAACCAACCGGGAUUGCCUUAGUAACGGCGAGUGAAGCGGCAAAAGCUCAAAUUUGAAAUCUGGUACCUUCGGUGCCCGAGUUGUAAUUUGGAGAGGGCAACUUUGGGGCCGUUCCUUGUCUAUGUUCCUUGGAACAGGACGUCAUAGAGGGUGAGAAUCCCGUGUGGCGAGGAGUGCGGUUCUUUGUAAAGUGCCUUCGAAGAGUCGAGUUGUUUGGGAAUGCAGCUCUAAGUGGGUGGUAAAUUCCAUCUAAAGCUAAAUAUUGGCGAGAGACCGAUAGCGAACAAGUACAGUGAUGGAAAGAUGAAAAGAACUUUGAAAAGAGAGUGAAAAAGUACGUGAAAUUGUUGAAAGGGAAGGGCAUUUGAUCAGACAUGGUGUUUUGUGCCCUCUGCUCCUUGUGGGUAGGGGAAUCUCGCAUUUCACUGGGCCAGCAUCAGUUUUGGUGGCAGGAUAAAUCCAUAGGAAUGUAGCUUGCCUCGGUAAGUAUUAUAGCCUGUGGGAAUACUGCCAGCUGGGACUGAGGACUGCG
Molecule: ribosomal RNA, 543 nt
Filed under: Saccharomyces cerevisiae (brewer's yeast)
Lineage: Eukaryota; Fungi; Ascomycota; Saccharomycetes; Saccharomycetales; Saccharomycetaceae
Description: partial large subunit ribosomal RNA
Rfam family: Eukaryotic large subunit ribosomal RNA
Source: RNAcentral